GUAAUAAUCACAUUUAAAUUGUGUUGAGCUGGAGAUAUAGCUUAGUGGUAGAACAUGUUCUUAGUACUUAGUAUGCAGGAGGCUUUGGGUUCAAUCCCCAGAACCAAAAAUAAAGGAAACAAAAAGUAUAAAAGAAAAACAAGGUGAAGGUGUCAUUUUAUGUAAUAGCAUCAAAUGCACGAAUAACCUUAAUAAGCAGAGAAAAUAGUAUUUCUUUCAUUCUAAGUUUCUUAUAGAGAUCUUUAAAUCUGGAUCUUUUGAUCAGAUUUCUUCUUUUGACGCUUAGGUGAAAUUUUAUGAAGAUAAGGGAAAAGAUAUAUUUAACAACAUGUAUUUAUAUUUGGCAUUCUGAGUCUUUAAUAGUAUCAGAGCUGUGGGAGUAUUUAAUAGUAGCAGUUAUAGUUCUUUUGGGAGGCCAAUAUGGUAUAUGAGCUGAAACUAAAUUUGGAAGGACCAUAUGUGCUGAGAAGCUACUUAAACAUUGAAGACAGUAGAACAAAUACUACCAGUGACUUAACACAUAGAUGGAUUGAUCUAUACACUGUUGAUAAAGUGAACAAAAUUUAACACAUAAUCUGGACUAAAAUUGAAUAUCAGAAGUAAUAACAUCUUACUUUUGGUUUAAAAUGCUUUUUUUGUUUGUGGGUAGUCAGGGACCAUUUAUUCUUUUAUUUGAAGAAUUUCCAAAAUUUUCUUUAUCUGGGUAUUUAUUAAAUUCAGGGCAGAGAGGGACUACCACAUGCAUAUUACUGUUUUUGGAAUUACACUUUUUGGAAUUUCACAAACUGAAAAUCUGUUCCAAGGGAAAAGGGAUGAC
RNAcentral lists this long non-coding RNA (817 nucleotides) under Marmota monax (woodchuck). Lineage: Eukaryota; Metazoa; Chordata; Mammalia; Rodentia; Sciuridae. The record is from RNAcentral.